UGGACUGGCUAUAGGUUACUAGCUGCAGGCUGCAGGGUGGACUGGCUAUAGGUUACUAGCUGCAGGCUGCAGGGUGGACUGGCUAUAGGUUGCUAGCUGCAGGGUGGACUGGUUAUAGGUUACUAGCUGCAGGCUGCAGGGUGGACUGGCUAUAGGUUACUAGCUGCAGGGUGGACUGGUUAUAGGUUACUAGCUGCAGGGUGGACUGGCUAUAGGUUACUAGCUGCAGGGUGGACUGGUUAUAGGUUACUAGCUGCAGGGUGGACUGGUUAUAGGUUACUAGCUGCAGGCUGCAGGGUGGACUGGUUAUAGGUUACUAGCUGCAGGGUGGACUGGUUAUAGGUUGCUAGCUGCAGGGUGGACUGGUUAUAGGUUGCUAGCUGCAGGGUGGACUGGCUAUAGGUUACUAGCUGCAGGGUGGACUGGCGAUAGGUUGCACGCACGCAGGCAGGCAACAGUAACAUAGACCAGUAACAUGCCACAGUGGAGCCCAGGGGGAUUUAGGGGGAUUCAUUUGGGAGGGUUUUUACAGCUGUUGUCUGCACAUUUAACGGCAAAAC
Molecule: long non-coding RNA, 560 nt
Organism: Oncorhynchus tshawytscha (Chinook salmon)
Lineage: Eukaryota; Metazoa; Chordata; Actinopteri; Salmoniformes; Salmonidae
Source: Ensembl